Molecule: long non-coding RNA, 295 nt
Organism: Silurus meridionalis
Lineage: Eukaryota; Metazoa; Chordata; Actinopteri; Siluriformes; Siluridae
Exons: 3
Source: RefSeq, a predicted model, not a curated record
GAGAAUCUAUUUAAACUAGCAGCAAACAAAACACGUUUGUCAAAGGGACAGACAUCAGUCGAGUCAUUAGUCCUGUGAAUUUGUGCUUAAUGUGCCAUGACUAAGCCUUGAUGCAGUCUCUUCACUGACUGUUAUGACUGCAUUGAGUUCCUGCUGUUUAGAAAGGAUUUCAGAAUUUAGCAGCGCUGAAAAAAAGAGAGGACAAAAAUCAUCUAGUCUUUAUUAGGUCUUAGUUGCCCCUGACUGUAAACCCAGUCCCUUCUACCUGUUGUGAAGAAAAAGAGUCCAUCACGAG